UCACCUGUUUAUCAAAAACAUGUUUAUUAGAUUUUAAUUUAUAGUCAAAUUUGCUCAAUGAAAAUUUAUUUUAAAUAGCUGCAGAAUUUUAACUGUACAAAGGUAGCAUAAUAAAUAGCUUUUUAAUUUAAAGCUUGAAUGAAAGAUUUAAUGAAAAAAAAACUUUAUUAGUUUAAAAAAUUAAAAUUUUUUUUAGAUAAAAAAAUCUAAUUUUUUUAAAUAAACAAAAAGACCCUAAAAACUUUAUAAAUUAAAACUAAUUUAUUUAAUUGGGGAAAUUAAAAAAUUAAAAUAAUUUUUUUUUUUUAUAACAAAAAUAAAUGAAUAUAAUUAUUUUUAUUAAAAAUUAAUUUAAGUUACUUUAGGGAUAACAGUAUAAUUUUUUAUUUUAGAACAAAUAAGUUAAAAAGUUUAUAACCUCGAUGUUGAAUUAAGAUAAAAAUAAAAUGAAACAAUUUUAAUUUAAG
RNAcentral lists this ribosomal RNA (467 nucleotides) under Chelonus (Microchelonus) sp. CXX-2005. Its description in RNAcentral is "Microchelonus sp. CXX-2005 partial 16S ribosomal RNA". Lineage: Eukaryota; Metazoa; Arthropoda; Insecta; Hymenoptera; Braconidae. The record is from RNAcentral.